RNAcentral lists this ribosomal RNA (619 nucleotides) under uncultured bacterium. Its description in RNAcentral is "bacterial SSU rRNA". It matches the Rfam family "Bacterial small subunit ribosomal RNA", at positions 881 to 1505 of the family's 1533-position model. The record is from RNAcentral.
UACGGUCGCAAGAUAAACUCAAGGAAUGACGGGGCCCGCACAAGCGGUGGAUUAUGUGGAUUAAUUCGAUGCAACGCGAAAACCUUACCUGGCCUUGACAUGUACGGAACUUUCCAGAGAUGGAUUGGUGCCCGAAAGGGAGCCGUAACACAGGUGCUGCAUGGCUGUCGUCAGCUCGUGUCGUGAGAUGUUGGGUUAAGUCCCGCAACGAGCGCAACCCUUGCCAUUAAUUGCCAUCAUUUAGUUGGGCACUUUAAUGGGACUGCCGGUGACAAACCGGAGGAAGGUGGGGAUGACGUCAAGUCCUCAUGGCCCUUAUGGCCAGGGCUUCACACGUAAUACAAUGGUCGGUACAGAGGGUAGCCAACCCGCGAGGGGGAGCCAAUCCCAGAAAGCCGAUCGUAGUCCGGAUUGCAGUCUGCAACUCGACUGCAUGAAGUCGGAAUCGCUAGUAAUCGCGGAUCAGCAUGUCGCGGUGAAUACGUUCCCGGGCCUUGUACACACCGCCCGUCACACCAUGGGAGUGGGUUCCACCAGAAGUAGGUAGUCUAACCGCAAGGGGGACGCUUACCACGGUGGGGUUCAUGACUGGGGUGAAGUCGUAACAAGGUAGCCGUAA